Octopus sinensis (East Asian common octopus) is the source of this 2722-nucleotide RNA transcript. It is a transcript of the gene named MAGUK p55 subfamily member 6, with no coding region annotated. The record is from RefSeq and is a predicted model, not a curated record. The transcript has 16 exons. NCBI's taxonomy places the organism in Eukaryota, Metazoa, Mollusca, Cephalopoda, Octopoda, Octopodidae.
UACCUGUUGCGCUAUGAAGGUGGACGUGAAGUUGCCCACAUUGACAUUCAACUACGUUUAAGACAAGCCCAGCAGUUAGUACCAUAACUAUAUAUAUAUAGUGUCAGUAGAAAUUGAUAAAGAACGAAAACAAGGCCUCGUUUAAAACAAAGUAUAUAACAAGAUUAAAUGAAAUUAAAUAACUUUAUCACAAGAGGCACCUGUUCACAUCUUGUCUAACCGACCAAUCACCUAGACUGUAACAAAUACCUGUCGGAAGUUGUCACAUGGUAUAAAACAGGUGUGCUAAUUUUUUCUUCUUUUCUUCUUCUUAGUAUUAUAUUCCGUGUCCCACAUCCUGGUGUGAAUGAGGAAAUCAGUUUGUUGACCAUGCCGGCCGCUAGUGUUGAAACUGGCUUCUCGGCCUUUAAGCAAGUUGUAAAUAACUUGGACGAUUUGGAAGAGUCAGCAGGGGCAGAUGAAAGGGACAUAGACUUUUUGAAAAAUUUUCUGCUUGAUGAAAAAAUACAAAAUUUAGUAUUGGCACACGAUAAACUUGAAGAAACUCCUAUAGAAGCAGAGAACAAUAAAUCAUUGAAUCUUCAAGUUGAAGCAUUAAAAAUAUUAUCUGAACAUUCCUCAACAAAUGAAAAUGCUGCAGAAUUGUGGGAUAUUUUGAAGGAUAAUCACGUACAGUCACUGUUACUUGCUCACGACGAAAUAUCGAAAAAGAAUUUUGAUGAAGUCAACACCUUCCAGCUUGAUUCACCUCCUCCUCCAGUAUUUUCCUUAGUUGAAGGUUCCAUUCGGUUAGUAAGAAUAAGGAAGAACAAGAACGAACCGCUGGGUAUCAUCGUGAAACUUGAUGAGAAUAAUGAACUUGUUGUAUCCAGGAUUAUGAAUGGCAGCUUAAUUGCUAAACAAGGUCUUUUACAUGAAGGUGAUAUUAUUAAAGAGUUUAACGGAACAGAAGUCCAUACACCAGCCCAGCUUAUGGAUAAUAUUAAAAAUGCUGAAGAGGGUAUUUUCUUAACAAUCAUACCAAACAUGCAACGACAAUCUUUUCAUGAAAGUCUGUUUAUCAAAACUCAUUUUAAUUAUGAUCCAAUGCGAGAUCGGCUUAUACCUUGUAAAGAAGCAGGAUUACCAUUCAAGGAUGGAGAUAUCUUGGAGAUUUUGAGCCAAAAUGAUGCUAAUUGGUGGCAGGCUCGUAAAGUUGAUAGUAAAGGAAGUGCUGGCAUUAUACCAUCUCGCUCUCUUGAAGAAAAGAGGAAAGCUUUUGUUUGCCCAGAAUAUGACAAUUCAAAGAGUUUCUUUUGCGGUUUGAGGAGGAAAAAGAAGGUGAAAUACAGUACCAAGAACAACAAAGAUUUUGAUGCCUGUGACUUGAUGAUUUAUGAAGAGGUUAUUAAAAUGCCCCAGUUUCAACGAAAGACUUUAGUACUGGUUGGUGCAACGGGUGUUGGACGUCGAUCAUUAAAAGAACGGCUGAUAAAAAAUGAUCCCAGGUUAUUUGCUGCUGCCAUGCCUCAUACUUCUAGGGCUCCCCGAGAUGGAGAGAAACAUGGCCAGGGUUACUUUUUCAUGGAACGAGAAGUAAUGGAAGAAGAAAUAAGAAAUGAGAAAUUCCUUGAACAUGGCGAAUACAAUGGCAAUUUGUAUGGCACCAAGAUUGAAACAAUAUUGGAUGUUAUCAAUUCUUCAAAGAUGUGUGUUUUAGAUGUCAACCCUACGUCUUUGAAAAUUUUGAAAACUGCAGAAUUUUUACCCUUCAUUGUGUUCAUGGCUGCUCCAAGUGCAGAUGUGUUAAGAGAGAUGCAUGAGCUUGGUAAACAAGCUAGAGGCUACAGGGGACGUAUGGAGUUAAAAACUGAGGAAGAUUUUCUAGGAAUGGUUGAUGAAAGCAUGCAGAUAGAACAAGUUUAUAAAAGCUAUUUUGACUUGAUUAUUAUUAAUGAUGACUUCAAUCAGUCAUACCAGUCGUUACGCGAGGCAAUUGAUGAACUCAGCAAUGAAACACAAUGGGUCCCUUCUAACUGGAUCUACUAACAACACACCUCAAUUGACCAUUUCAUACCUGAUUCGCAGAAACUUUGAGGUUCAUAUUUUUAUAGAACAAGUCUUAACUAGAUUUUAAUAUGCAACCUUAAAAUAUCACAUAUGUAUGUAUACAUAAUAUAUAGAAAGAGAGAAAGAGAAAAAUGUUUCAUUGAAUAAAACUUUUUAAAGGGAGAUCAUUCCAAAAGCCUGUGACCACAAUUUAAGUCUGCAUGGCUGAAAUUAAAAUAUAUCAAGUCCGAGCCACGAUAGGAAAACAUUUGCUGUUGAGCAAGCUUUUAUUUUUAUAAAUUGAAAUACUUUUUUUCAUCAAUAACCAUUUCUUCAUAAAGUAUUUCCUAAGAAAAAUAGAAUUAAAAGUUAAUGGAUAGGGAAAUGAUAAUUUUAAGUGCCAAAUUUGUGAUGCAGUUUACAUUCUUACUGAAGUUGUCCAUGAUUCUAAUGCACUGCUCCAAUCAGAUGUAUGUUGAGAGAAAACAGGAGUUUCUGUUUAAAUUCAUAACAGCAUAAUAUUUCAAAUAGUGAAAUCAUACCAGGAUAUUGGUUAUCUAGAAGUGGUGGUGGAAUCAAAUUUGUGAAAGAAAAAUCUGCUUGUGAUUAGUAGAUUGAAGUAAAUUUUGAUUUUUCUCUAUCAACAUUUUGGACUUGGUACAAAAAAAAACCCCAAAAAAACAUGAAAUUGAUU